GGGGCUCUUCCGUACGAACGUGGCGCGGGGGCUGCCUGGAGCCAUGGAGCUGAUCCCGCCGGUGGACCUGGGCACCUGGAGGGCCUCUCCAGGAGAAGUGACUCAGGCUGUGAAGGUGGCCAUCGAUGCGGGCUACCGACGCUUCGACUGCGUACUUAUACCAGAACGAGAGUGACAUAGGAGAGGGAUCCAGUGCCAGCUCCUCAAGGGCGUUGUGAGACAAGAGGACCUGCUCGUUGUCAGCAAGCCAGGGCUUCUCUCCUCCUGGAAACGUCAUCGUGCCUGUGGAUCGCAGUGGCAUGGUUGUACCCAGCGACACAGACGUCCUGGACACGGAGAAAAUACAGAGUAUAAAGGAGAAAAUUUCAAAGUCCAUGUUGCCAUCGUCCAGUGCUGACUGCUAUUAGUACUUUGUACUUCCUUUUAGUGCUCUCUUAAGCGUUUCAGAAACAUAAUGUUGACAACACGAUAAGGUUCACGUAGAGGUGGCCGGAGAAGCCCAGGGACCAGAUGGAAAAUGGUACGGGCUUGAAAUGCAGUGAAGGUCCGGAGAAGCGGGGGAGCGGUGGAUUUGAGGCUGUGGACGUUAACCGCGGGCUGGAGGGGAGCGGGAGCGGGCAGCAGGAGCCCCUGAGGAUGUGGGCUGUGGCGCCGCUGAGCCAGGUGCAGGUCUUACCGGCGUGGCGGGCAGCAUCGCGCGUGCGAGGCCCGGGAGCCCGGCAAGCUCACACCGGAAGUCCCGCAGCCUUGGAGCUGAGGUCUGAAGCCCCUGGAGCGAGAACAGUGGGGGAAGCCGCCAGGGCCCGGAGGCGGCCGGACAGCACCACGCAGCCCGCGGGCCGCUGGGGCAGGGACGGGCCUGCUUCAGGAGGAAGGUCUUUCUACCUGAGAGUCCGUCCUCACAAAGCCCCCGGGGGAGGCCCGUCUCCUCUUUCCGACAGAAGAGAAUUAGGUCGCGAGGCUGCGCAGCCGGGCUACACCAGAGAGCUUCAGCCUGCGCUCUCCCGGGCACUUUCUGCCGGACUGGAAUCGCCGUGCUGUGCAGAGCUGCGUGUCACCGCAGACCUCAGGGCCUUUGAGAUGGAUUCAGGGAAGAAUCAUGUUUGGUGAGCCGUACUUUUCCUUGUGGUAAAGUCUUGAGACUUGACGAUAGUAUUUGCUCUGAGGAGCUGAAGAUAGUUGCCACUGUUUACGGCAAUUGUGUGCUGCGCUCUCCUACACUAAAUGAGCCCUGAUCGUUCCUCCUAGAGGAGCUCUGGUCACAGCAUUUCCAUAACUCAUCAGCACCUAGCCUUGUUCUAUGUAUGUUUCUGUUUAAAAACAACUUUUGAAACAUACGUUACGGAUUCAUUGGCAUCGAACUCAGCCAACAUAAAAUUCAUGCCUGAAUAAAACUUUCCCAACAUUUAUUUUUUCCGGAAAGCCCAUCAUAACCUAUAGGGCUUCGCCACUCUAAACAGCACUCUAGCCCUGGUUGGCUGUGUUUUAAACUGAAAUCAACAACAGGAACAAGAAAUAUGUAAAAUAUGGCACUAAAUAUCAUAUAAAAUGCAUUUAUUUAUGCCAUAAGCAUCCAGAGACUCAAAUUGUAACUGCUCUAUGCAGGCUCUUGAAUAAUUAGGAAGGCACUCAAAUAGUGAUUUCGAGGUUAAAAAUAAACCUUUAUGAGUUGUCAAAUUUGCCUUUCUUCGAUCCCCAGACUGUGAAGUAUCAGUUAAAUCCACCGCCAGGUGGCGCUGGAGGAAGCGGUAAGGCGCGCUCCGGUUGCUGUCCGCCAGAAGGUGGCAGGCAGCCUCUGCUCUGGUUUACCGCAUCUUCUGGUGCCUUGGAGGGCCUCAUGGCAUUCCUGUGGGCUCAUGGUGGUGCCCCGGGGUAACUGGGUGCAAACUUUGGGAAGUGGAUUUAGAAAUUAUUUAUUGCUUUCAAACUUGGAGGAAUGAUGAAAUUAGAAUCUUGGCACAUGCUCUCCUUUUUUGCUGCCUCCCUUGUCUCCUGUUUAAUAAGCACAGUGAGCUUUACAUGUCCAGUCGCUGCUUCCAGUCUCAGCUCUGCUCCUCAAUACGCACUCUUACAGCCUCCCUUCUCUUAAUGGGUGGGAAUUCCUUUUAAUGUGCUUCGGGAGAAAGUGACAUCUUUUUCUCUCUUUAAAAGGAGACCUUUUUAAAUGUAGUUUAGAUCAUUUUUAGUAAAAGGCAUAUUUUUAAAAGUUGGGAGACUCCUGCAGACCCUUCGGUGACGUCCUAUCAGAGUAACAGCUGGGCACAGCUGCCUCAGGCUGCAUGACCUGAGAACUACCCCUCUGUCUAAUUCUCUCUUAGCGCUUUCCCUGCCCAGCCCCACCCCUAAGCAACCCAGCUGUGACUGCUGCCCUACUCUGGACUCUUAGUUGGGCUCCUUGAACGUGAGGCUAGGGCCCUGACCUGUACGGUGGCGGAUUUCUGGGAUGUAAGUCGUCUCUCUCACCGUGACUGAUUCCAGCCACCAACGUGAUGCUGAAUGCAGAGCUAAGAAAAUCCACCCACAAAUUAGCAACAUGAGAAGGCUGCAGCUACUAUGGGAAGUGCACGUAUGCUGUCCAACCCUGUACAUUUCCUUACCUUCCUUAUUUUCUUCAUACCUAUUAAUUAUGUACUAUUUGCCUGUUUAUUCUCAUCAUUUAUAUCCCCAGCUAAUUGAAAAUAAAAUUUAUAAGGGAGAGCCUUACCUGUUUUGUUUAGUACUAUAUCCCUGGCCUUCAAACCAGUACCUGGCACAGAGAAAGUACUAAAUAUUGGAAGAAUUGAGUAAAUACACUUAAAUAAUCGCAAAGCAAUACCAAUUCCCAAUUUAAAAUUCCAAUAAAUUCCUGAUAGAUUCUGUUAGGGUCUUGAUGUAAAAUGUCCCUCAGAAGUUUCUCUGAAAGUGCUUGACCAUGAGCAUAGCACUCAUGAGUUGGCUAAUUCACUGCUGAGUUCGUAGGUGAGUGUCUUGUGCGUGGUCGGCCCCAGCUGGAGAGGCUGAAAAGUAUCUAUUACUAGAUUUAGUUAUAAAGAUGAGCACAACUUGGCUUGCCCUUAAAGAUCUCCAGUUCAAAUGAGACAAAUGUAGAGGCAGUUAUGAAACUGUAAUACAUGGUGUGAUAUACUGAAGUGGGUUGCAGUACAUGUUCAUUUUGCAUAACAAAAUUGAUCCUGUAAUGUUGAAUGUUUUCAUAGGACCAAAUUUUAUUUAUCCAUACAUUGAGGUAAGUAAACUGCCCACACCUAGUUUUGCAGCAUGGAAUUAUGUAACUUUCACCACACUUUUCGUCACUCUCCAUCCUGGUGUAAUGUCUUUAGUAGAGCUACGGCUGGAGAAGCUGACAGUCAGGACUCCUGGUCUAAUUUCCAGGACCCAAGCCAUUUUCCUCUACAUGCUGAUGCCAGACUAUAAUCCCUUCCUCUACCAGCUGGUUUCUGGUACUUGGAAAACAUCUAGAACAAGGAAAAUAGUGAUUUGGUGUGUAUUUCCACCAUAUGUAUUCCUACCAUAUAAAAUUCCAUCCAUUGCCAAUACUGUUUUUCUCUAUAUUAACUGAAAGUAAUUUUAUACUUUCUGUACAUUAUAUACAGUACAAAGUAUUUUAAGUCAACAUUCUUCACAGAAAAGUAGGACUAAUCCUUGUUCCCUUAUAGAUCAAGAAACCAAGGCAUAAAGAGGUUAAAUAAAUCGCCAGCAAAUAUGCAGCUAUUAAGUGAUACAGGCAGACUGACCCAGGCACUCUGGCAGCAGAGGCUGAGCUCUUAGUCACUACCUGCCUGUCGCAUCCCAAUUCCACAUAACACUAGCAGAAAACAUAAAUUUCUCAGUAAUGUCAAAGAAUAUUUGGGUGAUAAAAUCAAAAGAGCUCAUUAAACCUGAAAAAUUCCAAUCCAUAAGUGAUCAGUGUGGUGACAAAGAGCUAAAAUUCUCAGUGCCCAGAAUUCUUUGACAGCACGCUUCUGCCCAGCACACACUGGACACAGCCCUGCAGUUACAGCACUGCAAACAGCACAAGAUAAAGGCAAACACAAAACUAUCCUUUCUUCCUCUGAGCUGAUAUCUUCGCCCAAAAAAGGUUAAGACAUACAGAUGCAUUUAUCCAAAUCCAAAGAGCCUUUGGUUUUUUGUUUAGUUUUUGAGGCCUAAGCGAGAGGCCUUUACAAUUUGCAACUUUGAUGUACAGCUUUGGUUAUGAUACAGGUUUUCCUAAAAGAUGAACAACAACAAAAAGACUGACCUAGAAAAUGUGUUUCUGCACCUGCCAAUUCAGGCCAUUUCCCGAUCCUCAUUCCUUAUAGAAACCUCCAAUCUCUCCUUCGGCUUUGGGAUUCCUCCCAAGGAGCUUGCCCACUGUGCCUCCAUGCUUGGCCUUCACUUUCGUGGGUUAGAGAUCUGCCCUGUUUCGAAGACACCUCAGAAGAGGCAUGCAUCUUGUGUGGCCCCCUGGGAUGGCAGUCAGUCACCCUCUUUAAGGAGUGUCUUUUGGGUAGGCAUAGCACCUCCUUAGGGUCUACAUGGAUUUUGCAUCUCCUGUUCUCUCUGACUCACCCCUGCCUAUAUUCUUAUGAACUGGCCUAGAUUCGAUCCUGAAAAACAAACAUCUCUUUUCCUGUACAAUUCCGGCUGGCUUCAGUAUGAGCAUUUAUCAUUUAAUGGAACUUUAAAUUAUAAUGCUGUACUGUAAUUGAACUUCUGUCCCAGUCAGGACAGAAGUUCUAAUCAUCCCAGCCUGUUUUUCUCCGAGUUCGGACAGUGAUGUUGUUUACAAUCCCCCUCUCGGCCCCCUCAGGCCCCUGUUCAGCCUGUGUCUUCCACCAGACAGCACUCCUCCGGUCUCCAGCUCCACACUCUGAUGCCCUUUCCUCCUUCUGACUCUUGCUAGUGUAACUCUAUACUGCUAAAAUGGCAGAAAGGAUUAUGAGAGAUCUCUGUUAUGAUGCACCAAAAGCAAUAAUAUAAAGUGCUGUGAUCCUGAAGGAGAACCCUGAGUAGUGUAAGAGAAAAAAAUUAUAAUACAACAUGGCUAAUACUUCUGAAGGUACACUCUGGUUUAAUGUAAUUAUCCUGCUUGUCCUGCCUGUGAAUCCGUGUUUACAAUAACUGCUCUCGGGCACCUCUGUGAUGGGAGGCUUCUCUGCACCCCCAGGCCCCCAGCCCCCAACUUGAGGGAAAAUAUCAUUGUUACUAAACUGUGAUUUAAGGGAAAAGAUCCAUGUAAAACCUCAGUGGCUGUGGCUCCCCCUUCGUGGCAUCAACAGGAAACACCAAGCUCCAAGCUCCAAGCUCUAAGCCCUUACCAAGUGAGUACAGGAAAGUGAACUGGGAUAAAACAAAGUGCCAAUACCAAGCGAAAACACUGCCAAAAAGAUAGACAAAGAAGGAGCCUGAGCUCAAGGGAGAGCCUCAACCCAAGGCUAAGUGUGAGGUAAAAAGUGACUGGGGCUACACCCAGCCUGCCCUGGCUCCCCGGAGAUGGGAGGAGAAGGCCGACUGUUGUCUGGACGUGCCCAAGGAGAAGACACCUUCGUGAUGGCACAUGAGUGGCAUGAGGCCGUCAGGGAGCGCCCUGACUGGCCGCGACAUUCACUCUUAAAUUCUGUGGCUGAAGGGAAUGUUUUCACUUGGUCAAUGCGCCUAAAACAUUUCUUGUAAACAGCUUUGUGAUAAUUCUUAAACUACAUUUAUAGGGUUAACUUGCUCUUUGCUACUUUGUGCUUGUACUAAGAUAAUUUGUCAUUUCCAGGCCACAUCAUCUUAAAAGUUUGUCAGCUCUAGAUAAAAAGUAACAUCUCUACUCCUCUUUCUGCUUUCUGAUGAUAGUAAUUUACUGUGCAAGGUUACUAAGAGUCUGUUAAUCAGUCAGCUCUAAUUAAAAUGUAACACUUACAAGUUAAGUCUGUGCUAAGAAAUGUACCCAGAGUGUUUUAAA
Long non-coding RNA from Heterocephalus glaber (naked mole-rat), 5929 nucleotides. RefSeq lists it as uncharacterized. The record is from RefSeq and is a predicted model, not a curated record. NCBI's taxonomy places the organism in Eukaryota, Metazoa, Chordata, Mammalia, Rodentia, Bathyergidae.